CCUACGGGAGGCAGCAGUGAGGAAUAUUUGUCAAUGGACGAGAGUCUGAACCAGCCAAGUAGCGUGAAGGAUGACUGCCCUAUGGGUUGUAAACUUCUUUUAUAUGGUAAUAAAGUGUUCCGCGUGUGUGAUUUUGUAUGUACCAUAUGAAUAAGGAUCGGCUAACUCCGUUCACGCAGCCGCGGUAAUCCUGCGGAUCCUCGCGUUAUCCGGAUUGAUUGGGUUUAAAGGGUGCGCAGGCGGAGGUGCAAGUCAGCGGUCAAAUUGCGGGGCGCAACCCCUGACUGCCGUUGAAACUGCAUACCUGGAGUGCGCGAGAAGUAUGCGGAAUGCGGGGUGUAGCGGUGAAAUGCAUAGAUAUCACGCAGAACUCCGAUUGCGAAGGCAGCAUACCGGAGCGCAACUGACGCUCAUGCACGAAAGCGUGGGUAUCGAACAGGAUUAGAUACCCCAGUAGUC
RNAcentral lists this ribosomal RNA (459 nucleotides) under uncultured bacterium. RNAcentral's name for it is "partial 16S ribosomal RNA". It matches the Rfam family "Bacterial small subunit ribosomal RNA", at positions 338 to 795 of the family's 1533-position model. The record is from RNAcentral.